CACGCUCCACACAAAUAAUUAUUAUUUGAAUCAGAGGCCAUCCAACAGAGGAUGAAACACCAGUAACUAUGGUUGAUAGGGAUAUCAGCAGUUAGUUACAAAAAGGUGU
Molecule: non-coding RNA, 109 nt
Submitted as: unclassified sequences
Source: Rfam